This 317-nucleotide small nuclear RNA is filed under the name Erinaceus europaeus (western European hedgehog). Its description in RNAcentral is "7SK RNA". It matches the Rfam family "7SK RNA". From Rfam's summary of the family: 7SK was discovered as an abundant small nuclear RNA in the mid-70s but a possible function has only recently been suggested. Two independent studies have found that 7SK RNA binds the CDK9/cyclin T complex (known as elongation factor P-TEFb). The record is from Rfam by way of RNAcentral. Lineage: Eukaryota; Metazoa; Chordata; Mammalia; Eulipotyphla; Erinaceidae.
GGAUGUGAGGGCGAUCUGGCUGUGACAUCUGUCAUCCCAUUGAUCGCCAGGGUUGAUUCAGCUGAUCUGGCUGGCUAGGCGGGUGUCCCCUUGCUCCCUCACCGCUCCAUGUGCAUCCCUCCCAAGACUGGGUGCUCGGUUGAAGAAGACGGCCUUCCCUUCGGUAGAGGGUAUAUGAGUAGCUGUGCUCCCCUGUUAGAACCUCCAAACAAGCUCUCAAAUUCUCUUUAUCUUUAUCUUUCACCAUCUGAAACUGAUUUAGGUAAACAAUCGGUAGCGCAUCUCUAAAAACUGUUAUCAGUGUCCUGUUAGCACUG